UCCAAGCCCUCCGCGUGACGGCAUCCAGGCCAAUUCCCCCAGGACGGAAACGUAGCAAGGGUAACCGGGCUCUGUCGGGUGCGCGGAGGGUCUUUUCUUU
This 100-nucleotide signal recognition particle RNA is filed under the name Microbacterium triticisoli. Its description in RNAcentral is "Microbacterium sp. M28 signal recognition particle sRNA small type". It matches the Rfam family "Bacterial small signal recognition particle RNA". From Rfam's summary of the family: The signal recognition particle (SRP) is a universally conserved ribonucleoprotein involved in the co-translational targeting of proteins to membranes. Archaeal SRP consists of a 7S RNA and homologues of the eukaryotic SRP19 and SRP54 proteins. The record is from RNAcentral. Lineage: Bacteria; Bacillati; Actinomycetota; Actinomycetes; Micrococcales; Microbacteriaceae.